This 309-nucleotide long non-coding RNA is filed under the name Musa acuminata (dwarf banana). Its description in RNAcentral is "long non-coding RNA (MACU_LNC000579)". Lineage: Eukaryota; Viridiplantae; Streptophyta; Magnoliopsida; Zingiberales; Musaceae. The record is from RNAcentral.
AAAAAUAGUAAUAACACGAUAAGGAAGAUAAAGGAAGAAUAACAAUUAUAGAUUGGUGUUAAAAGAAGAAGAAGAAGACGAGAAAAGGGAAAGUUAAAAGAUAGGAAAUAAAUGGAUACUCAAACCUCAAACUUAGCAAAUGAUGGAAAUCAUCAACUUAGCAACCAUACAUCUCGAUAGCUAAAAAGCUAUGAUACAUAUGAAAUACAAAUUAACUAGAUUGAAGUAAGGGAAACUAUUCUAAUUACUUUAUCAAUGAAAAAUUGAUGAAAUAAUUAGAACAAUAAUUUGAUUCCCUUAAAAUGCCAC